ACCUACGGGACGCAGCAGUGAGGAAUAUUGGUCAAUGGGCGCGAGCCUGAACCAGCCAAGUCGCGUGAGGGAAGACGGUCCUAUGGAUUGUAAACCUCUUUUGUCGGGGAGCAAAAGACGCCACGCGUGGCGUUCCGAGAGUACCCGAAGAAAAAGCAUCGGCUAACUCCGUGCCAGCAGCCGCGGUAAUACGGAGGAUGCGAGCGUUAUCCGGAUUUAUUGGGUUUAAAGGGUGCGCAGGCGGAAGAUCAAGUCAGCGGUAAAAUUGAGAGGCUCAACCUCUUCGAUCCGUUGAAACUGGUUUU
Molecule: ribosomal RNA, 305 nt
Filed under: uncultured bacterium
Lineage: Bacteria
Description: bacterial SSU rRNA
Rfam family: Bacterial small subunit ribosomal RNA
Source: RNAcentral